This 74-nucleotide transfer RNA is filed under the name Staphylococcus aureus. RNAcentral describes it as "tRNA-Pro". It matches the Rfam family "tRNA". From Rfam's summary of the family: Transfer RNA (tRNA) molecules are approximately 80 nucleotides in length. Lineage: Bacteria; Bacillati; Bacillota; Bacilli; Caryophanales; Staphylococcaceae. The record is from RNAcentral. RNAcentral also lists the same sequence under 1 other name.
CGGGAGGUAGCUCAGCUUGGUAGAGCACUUGGUUUGGGACCAAGGGGUCGCAGGUUCGAAUCCUGUCUUCCCGA